This 51-nucleotide transfer RNA is filed under the name Ostrinia furnacalis (Asian corn borer). Its description in RNAcentral is "partial transfer RNA-Ser". Lineage: Eukaryota; Metazoa; Arthropoda; Insecta; Lepidoptera; Crambidae. The record is from RNAcentral.
AAUUAAGCUGCUAACUUAAUUUUUAGUGGUUUAAUUCCAUUAAUAUUUCUU